AUGUGCUCCUGGGUUGGUGGCCUGGGCUCUGGCCUAGGCCAUUCCCAGCGGGGAGGGGAUGGCAGUGAGACUUCCUUCACCGGCUACAACUCGGAUCUCACGAUGGACUUUGCUGAUGUCAUAUCAUCUCAGACACAAAUCAAUAGACUCCUCAAUGAGAUCGAAACACUGGAGGCUGAGCUUACACUUUGGAAACGUUCGUCCAAGGGACCAAAUAGCUCAGACUCCAAUGCCAUCUGGAAACUGAAGAGCACCAUCAGGGACCUAGAAGAGCGGCGGAUGAGGAAGAUUUUGGAACAUCAACUCGGAGUUGCGACACUGCUCAGUGUCCAUCAAGAAAAACUGGCCGACGUCAGGGACAGGCACUGCAAACAACUCCUCGAGUAUGAAAAACGGAUAGAAGACCUGCAAGAUCAACCCUCUCCUGGACAUGGGAAAGAUGACUUACUUCAAGAAAGGGAAACUGAGCUUAGAAGGUUGAAGCAACAACUUGCAGAAAUGGAGCGGCUGAAUGACAAUUUAAACAACGUUGUUUCUGAUCUCAGAGCAGAAAACCAAAAGUUGGUUUUGGCGCUCCAGGAUGUAAGACAUCAGCUGGAAGAAUCUAUUCUCCGGAACAACGAGGAUUCUCUGGAAAACAACACUGCUGUGAGGGCUUUAAAAAGAGAAAAAGGACGGUUAAUAGCAAAAUUGUCUCGGGCGGAAAAGAAGCUGUUGGAGAAAACGAACAAGUAUGAGCAAACUAUCAAAGAAUGGUCCCCUUUAGAGCAUGCGCAUUUCAUUCAACACAGUCAAGAGAAAGACCUGGAAAUAGUACACCUCAAAAAGAGGAUCGAGCAGAUGGACGCCGACCAUAAAGGAACGAAGGAAAUGUUGUCCUCUGCUUUGGAGGAGCAGAAGCGAUUGACACAACUCAUUAAAGAGAAAGAGACGUAUAUUGAAGAACUUACAGGAAGUGCAGAGCUUCAGGAGGAAUUCGGUCAGUCUACCCAAACCUUCAGAGGCAAUGACAUUUUCCAGCCAUCCGUGGAGGACAAAGACAGGUGUCUCCCAUCCGUGACAGACGAAAAUCAUCAUCUGGGAGAAGAACUGGAGAGCCCAAGACAACAGAGUCGCUCUGUACCUGCGGUCGACCCUAAAAUCCUAGACGAGAUCAUAGAACUAGAGUGUGAGGUGUUUCAACUCCAGGAGUUAAAAGACGAUCUCGAGGAGGAAAUCAGGGAGCAACAGAAGAUCAUUCACAACCAACAGCAGGGGAAGAUAGUACUACUUCAUUCUUUACAAGAGCAGAAGCGGAAAGUGGACCAUCUCCAAUACCAGCAGGAGCAGAUGACUAUUGAACACGCUCAGCUCCUUUCAGCAAAAGAUGAGGAGAUUCAGAAUUUGCAGGACACGAUAGAACAGAUGAAAGCCCGGCUGCCUGACAAAAGCCAGCACAUUCCAACACAAGACUGUGAUGAUGUGGAAGUCACAACAAGUCAGCCUCUUCCUAGAGAAAACGGAAGUGAAAAGCUUGAUUCAUCUGAAGCCGAAACUCAAAGAUUCGUCCUAGGAAUCAAAGAACAUGAACUGGAGAUGAAGUUUCUAACUGAACAGAACAUCCGACUGACAGAACAGAUCAGCUCUCCAAAGAGGAGAUUGGUAAACUAACUCAGAUCAUCCAGCAGAAAGAUUUGGAGAUUCAGGGUCUUUCCAGCAGGGUCUCUGCGGCUUCUCACAGCCAGAACAGGGACGUGGAGCGACUUCAGCGGCAAUUGCAAGAGUAUGCUUGGAAAAGCGAACAGGUCUUGGCUGCCUUAAAUGAGAAAACGAGGGAGAACAGCAAUCUGAAGACAGAAUAUGACAAAAUGGCAGAUAGAAUUGCUGCCACAGAAGCAGACCUCCAGAGGAUGCAAGAGGAAAAUCAAAAACUGUCCACUAGAAUUGAGAGUAGUGGUCAGGAGAUGUUUAGAGAAAUGAUUCAGAAUUUAUCACACGUUGUUCGAGAAAAAGACCUCGAAGUGGAUGCGUUAAGUCAGAAAUGUCAGACUUUAUUGACACUCCUGCAACCAUCCAGCACUGGUAAUAAGGUUCAAGGAGUUAAUAUGGAUCAGUUGAAGCAGCUCCUACAGGAACGGGACACAUUAAAACAGCGAGUGAAGAUCAUGGAAGAGUGGAAACAGCAGGUGAUGACCACAGUCCAAAAUAUGAAGCGUGAAUCAUCCCAGCUUCAGAGAGAUCUGGCACAACUCCAGGCGCCGGCUUUUACCAGCAGCAAGAAGGAUUCUGAACUACAGACAACCUCUAGUGACCUGAUGCAAAUGUACAAAGGCAAUGAAGUACAAUUACAACAUUUAGAGAAGGAACUGGCACAAAUUCAGCUCAGCAUCAGGGAGCUUUGCAAUGCCAAGGAUCUCUUUCUAGGGAAACUGGAUGUGAUUUUCCUCCAGCCCUCCACUGACUCCUUGGAGUCAGCGGACUCUCUAGAGGCCAUGAAAUCUGACAGAGCGAGUGAGGCUUCUCAGUUGCGCCAAGAGGAGGUAGAAGAGCUAAGAAAAUCAAUGCAAGAAAAAGAUACAAUGAUUCGAACCCUCUGGGAAGAUAAGAAGAGAUGGAUUGAUUCAGUGGCGGCCACGAGGGAAGUAGAAGGCCAACAUCAGGAACACAGGGAAUUCCGACAUCGAGCCGCUGAAGGAGAAACAGCCUGUUCUACAAAACUUCCUUCAGGAUCAGGAGCUCUGAAUCCAAGCGAAAAGUGAGGAAUUGCUUUCUUUACAGGAGAACUUCAGUAGCCAAGUGAGUGAAAAUGAACUUUUGAGGCAGACGGUCACCAAUCUGAAGGAGAGAAUAGCAGAGUUUGAAAUGGAUGUUUGUCAACUGAGGGAGGAAAAUGAAAAAGUCAUGGAAACCUCUAGAGGAAAGGAAGUGGGAAAUCAGGCAUCGCAAGAGACAGAUAGGCUGCUUUCAGUGAUGCGGAGAGAGGAGGAAUCCCAGGGUGCUGCGAUGAAAGGGAAGGCACUUGCUUUGGAGGAACUAUUGCAGGAGAGAGAAGAGCAGGAGACCGAGGAAGUGAACCGGCUUGUCAGUGCAGUAACAUCAAUGCAGGAAAAGACAGUUCUGUGCUAACAGGAGAGAGAUGAAGCCCUGUUGGCCCUGAAACAGAAACAAAUGGAAACCUGUGCCCUCCAGAAGGAGGUUCACCAUUUACGUGAGAGUGAAUUACGCCUAACCCAGGAGCUGGAGAGACAGCAACACCUGGCUCUAGAAGCUGAAGACGCUCAUCGCCGGGAAGCUCUGGCCUCAGAAGACAAAGUGGCUCAACUCAGGAAAGAAGUGACGGUCUUGCAGGGAAAAUUCGUUGUGUCAUCCACUGCCAUGGAAAAUGCAAGCCGUGGAGCCAGUCUGCAGGUAGAGUCGCUGCAGGAGCAACUGCACGUGGUGACCCAGCAGAAAGAGGACACCAUGCUCCAGCUUGCUGCCUCCCAGGAAGAAGGAAAGCAGUGUGGUCACAUCCUAGCUGACCUCAAGUUGGAACUCGCCAAAUGGAUGGAAAAGCUGAAGGAAGACCAACUCCAAGAAUUCAAGAAACAGAAUGAGGUCCAGCAGGAAAUCCUGGAGGACACACAGAAGAAACUGAUGAACUUAGUAAGUCCAAAGGAAUGGUGGACAAAACGCUCCUAAGGAGACUCUUCCUGGGAUCUUUCCAAGCACCUGAUGCCGAACGGCAGGAAGCGUUAAGGUUGAUGGGAAGCAUGCUGGGGAUCAGAGAAGACCAGAUGUGGCAGCUCUUCAGUGAAGGCCCAGGUGGUGUUACCAGCUGGAUGAUUCGGGGGCCUGGACCCAAAAGCGCCCCCAACACAUGUGUGAAGCCAGAUCACGGACCUAUGGCCAAGAAUUCUUUUUCAGGACUUUUCGUCCAGUUUCUAGAAGCGGGAUCUCAUUCAGCUUUGCCACCACCAAAACCCUCUGUUCAUGACGGGAAGCCCCCAGAUUCCGGAGGAAGGGGAAAACUGGCUAUGAAAAAAGGCCCACCACGUCUGAACACUACCCUAGGAUCCACACCCUGGAAAAAAGAUGUGAAGCCCCGCACCACAGCUGUAUCUCUUAUUACCCCAUCUGGACCAGAAACAGAUCGAUCGGAGCACCUUCUGCUAAAUGCCAUCACUGAUGCUUUCCCCACAUACAUGCCCCAAAUACUGUCACCUGCCAAGAAGGUUGGAAUGGUGGCCAAAUGCAUCUCCAAGAAAUAG
RNA transcript from Odobenus rosmarus divergens (Pacific walrus), 4229 nucleotides. It is a transcript of the gene named thyroid receptor-interacting protein 11-like, with no coding region annotated. The record is from RefSeq and is a predicted model, not a curated record. The transcript is spliced from 2 exons. Lineage: Eukaryota; Metazoa; Chordata; Mammalia; Carnivora; Odobenidae.